Molecule: ribosomal RNA, 1245 nt
Filed under: Triticum aestivum (bread wheat)
Lineage: Eukaryota; Viridiplantae; Streptophyta; Magnoliopsida; Poales; Poaceae
Description: partial small subunit ribosomal RNA
Source: RNAcentral
AUGAGAGGCCUCCUCGCGUGCGCCACGCUGGCCCGCCGCGCCGCCGCCGCCUCCUCCACGGGCGGCGCCUCCACGGCCGCGCGCCGCCACCUCGCGGGCGCGGCGGAGGCGGCCGAGGCGGAGCUCAAGAAGACGGCGCUCUACGACUUCCACGUGGCGCACGGGGGCAAGAUGGUGCCCUUCGCCGGCUGGAGCAUGCCCAUCCAGUACAAGGACACCAUCAUGGACUCCACCCUCAACUGCCGCGCCAACGGCAGCCUCUUCGACGUCUCCCACAUGUGCGGCCUCAGCCUGCAGGGCAGCCAGGCCAUCCCCUUCCUCGAGUCGCUCGUCGUCGCCGACGUCGCCGCCCUCAAGGACGGCACCGGCUCCCUCACCGUCUUCACCAACGACAAGGGAGGCGCCAUCGACGACUCCGUCGUCACCAAGGUCAACGACCACCACGUCUACCUCGUCGUCAACGCCGGCUGCCGGGACAAGGACCUCGCCCACAUCGGCGCCCACAUGGAGGCCUUCCAGAAGAAGGGCGGCGACGUCAAGUGGCACGUCCACGACGAGCGCUCCCUCCUCGCCCUGCAGGGUCCUCUUGCUGCACCAACUCUCCAGUUGCUGACAAAGGAAGAUUUGAGCAAAAUGUACUUCAGUGAUUUCAAGAUGAUUGACAUCAACGGAUCUGCUUGCUUCCUCACCAGAACUGGUUACACCGGCGAAGAUGGAUUUGAAAUCUCCGUCCCAUCUGAGAACGCGGUUGAUCUCGCAAAGGCCCUCCUGGAGAAAUCCGAGGGCAAGGUGAGGCUGACCGGCCUGGGCGCCCGCGACAGUCUCCGGCUGGAAGCUGGCCUCUGCUUGUACGGCAACGACAUGGAGCAGCACAUCACGCCGGUCGAGGCCGGCCUCUCAUGGGCGAUCGGCAAGCGGAGGAAGGCUGAGGGCGGCUUCCUGGGCGCGGAGGUGAUCCUGAAGCAGCUCAAGGAAGGCCCCAAGAUCCGGCGCGUGGGCAUCUUCUCGCAGGGGCCACCCCCGCGGAGCCACAGCGAGAUCGUGAGCGGCACGGGGGAGAACAUCGGCGAGGUGACGAGCGGCGGGUUCAGCCCGUGCCUGAAGAAGAACAUCGCCAUGGGGUACGUGAAGAACGGCCUGCACAAGGCCGGGACCGAGUUCAAGGUGGUCGUCCGCGGCAAGCAGUACGACGCCGUGGUCACCAAGAUGCCCUUCGUGCCCACCAAGUACUACAAGGCCCCUUAG